Molecule: small RNA, 691 nt
Filed under: Pongo abelii (Sumatran orangutan)
Lineage: Eukaryota; Metazoa; Chordata; Mammalia; Primates; Hominidae
Description: processed transcript
Source: RNAcentral
CAGGGACAACACAAACAAAGGAUCUGGGUCAACAUUUCCCUUUCUGGGAUAAAAAUAAUUGAUGAGAAAACUGGGGUAAUAGAGCAUGAACAUCCAGUAAAUAAGAUUUCUUUCAUUGCCCGUGAUGUGACAGACAACCGGGCAUUUGGUUAUGUGUGUGGAGGAGAAGGCCAGCAUCAGUUUUUUGCCAUAAAAACCGGGCAACAGGCUGAACCAUUAGUUGUUGAUCUUAAAGACCUUUUUCAAGUUAUCUAUAAUGUAAAGAAAAAGGAAGAAGAAAAGAAAAAGAUAGAGGAAGCCAACAAAGCAGUUGAGAAUGGGAGUGAGGCCCUAAUGAUUCUAGAUGACCAAACUAACAAACUGAAAUCGGGUGUUGACCAGAUGGAUUUGUUUGGGGACAUGUCUACACCUCCUGACCUAAAUAGUCCAACAGGUGACUAUUCAGAAGUCUAACAUUGUGGCUCCUGUUUGGUGUCCUAAGAACUUCUUCUGAAGUAUUUGAAAACGAGAACUCUACCAGCUGUGAACACUCAACUGUUCUAACCAGAGGUGGCUCAAAACAAAUAAAUAAAUAUUGAAAUCACAAGCUUUUGCAAUACAUUUUAUCCUACCUUUUGAUUGUAUAAAGAUCCCUAGAUUAAUAGCUCUUCCAAUCCAUUUCUCUGAUUAAUUUUUUUUUAAUUAUAAGCUC